Molecule: long non-coding RNA, 1589 nt
Organism: Tachysurus fulvidraco (yellow catfish)
Lineage: Eukaryota; Metazoa; Chordata; Actinopteri; Siluriformes; Bagridae
Exons: 2
Source: RefSeq, a predicted model, not a curated record
ACAGCGUUUUAAGUCAACGAAAAGUAGCUGUUGGAAGACGCUCUCCAAAGCGGAUAAAUUUGAAAACAUCUUCUUCGCGUCUUAGUGUGGAUUGUGAAGACAAAUGGCCUUUGAAUACUAUGAUGCAUUUUUAGUCAUGUGAUGCAGUCGAAAGCAAAUAAACGCCUAGCGGAAAUGAUGCAGGUCGAAGCUUUACUCAUGCGCAGUAGGGAGAUGUAAGCAUUUUCAUACAUUUCAGUGUGGAUGAGCAACUUUUGGAAAGCAUUUGAAAACGAUAAUGUGGAUGCGGAGCGUUUUUAGACGUAAACUCCGUUUUCUAAUAUAUCCGGAUUAGUGUGGACAUGGCCUAAGUUUUCGUUGAUACCCAAGUUAAAAUCAAAAUAAAGAAAAUAGACUUCUCAAGCUUGAAUAAGAUCAAUGAAGUCCUGAUUUUAUUGCAGCAGAAGAACAGAAAAGUUCUGAAAGUCUCCUUUUCAGCAUUAUAAUCAGCAAAAUAAUCCAACAUCCAAGCAUGGUACAGUUAAGGGAGCAAAGUCUCGAUCAGCCUGUCCCUAUUUACGUAUGCUCAGGUUCUGUUAGACGCCUCCUUUUUCUUAAUUUGCAUAGUUUAGACAAUUUCCCAUUCUAAAUUUUACGUUUUCACUCCUACCUAUUUUACAUAACUCCUCCCCGUUUCCCAUUAUUUCCUCAUUAUUUUCAGUAGUUUUUAUUACACCCCUCUCUUUUUCUUUUGCCCUUUUAUGGAUUUCCUGUCUUUUAAAUUCCCAAUAUUUCCCAACCAAACCAUAUUUAAAUAUAAAAAAAAUUGCUUCUACUUAAACCUAACACUUCCUGAAACUUGUACAUUUCACUCUCUCUGACCCUCAAGAGACAUUGUGUGUGUCUGUGUGUGUGAGUCUGCAUGGACCUGUUUUCACCUGUACUUUUUGUGGAUUAUUUUUCUGCAUUUUCUCCUCUCAGCUCCAUAAGUCACGAGUAGACUGGUCCAAGCCUUGCUUAAUCUUCCUACACAUUUCUUAUCUACUACAGACACCAAGGCUUCUGGGAACACUAGGCCUCAUCAAUCCUCACCACCUAGGCCUUAUCCUCACUCGAAUGGAAUGAUGUCUCCAGUGACAUCUGCUGGCUGUCUACGCCACUACAGGCAUUCUCAAUUGUCUGCUCUGGCUGUGGAAUUAUCCUACUAUUUGGAUCGUCUUUACACCACUGACACCGUCAACUUCACCAUUUCUCUUGUUACCAUCUCUCAUCAGGCCCUCUACUGCGAUGCUACUACUGAAACUGAUCCAAUAAUCUCUCCUGCUGCCAUUGAAUGCAGCACCCAGACUAUCCUUCACCCAUGGAAUUAUCGUUAUGCAUGUGGGGCAUAUGAUGUAUGAGUCAACCCUGUAUCUCCCUAUACUUCUUCAACUCCCGGUCCUUUUUCUCAUCCUAGUCCAGACCUAUCAUCUUCUAAUUCUUCCUCCCCUCCUCUGCCUUCCCCUCUCUCCCUCAAUCACACUUCCCCGACUGUUGCCAGAUCCCCAUCUCCGGGUUGUUCCUACAUUUAUAUUGAUUAGGUCAUCUCAAUAAACCUGUGUUCUACCAUA